UACGUAGGGGGCGAGCGUUUUCCGGAUUUAUUGGGCGUAAAAGGCUUGUAGGUGGCCACGCCAAGUCGGAUGUGAAAUCUCCCGGCUCAACUGGGAGGGGUCAUUCGAUACUGGCGGGCUCGAGGCCGGUAGGGGGAAGCGGAAUUCCCGGUGUAGUGGUGGAAUGCGUAGAUAUCGGGAGGAACACCAGUGGCGAAGGCGGCUUCCUGGACCGGUUCUGACACUGAGGAGCGAAAGCGUGGGGAGCGAUCCGG
Molecule: ribosomal RNA, 254 nt
Filed under: uncultured bacterium
Lineage: Bacteria
Description: partial 16S ribosomal RNA
Rfam family: Bacterial small subunit ribosomal RNA
Source: RNAcentral